UCGAGACCGAAUAUCGAGCGAUUCAGAGAACUUGUGAAAUAAACGGCGACGAUCGUUGCUGUGAAACAGCCAUCUUAUUCGUCCCACCCCUUCCUUCGGAGGGGGUCCGCGAUGAUGGAUGGUUGAAACCCCAAACCGGCGCAAAUUCGCGCCAAGGGACUAUUGAAAAGCACGAGCCCUUUCAUCGGGGCUCUGUGGUGUGGAGCGGUAUGUGUACCGCACGUAUUGACACGACUCUCGGCAAUGGAUAUCUCGGCUCUCGCAUCGAUGAAGAGCGCAGCGAAAUGCGAUACGUGGUGCGAAUUGCAGAAUCCCGCGAACCAUCGAGUCUUUGAACGCAAGUUGCGCCCGAGGCCAACCGGCCGAGGGCACGUCCGCCUGGGCGUCAAGCGUUGCGUCGCUCCGCGUCGAGUCCCAUCCCACGAGUGGGGGUGGCGACGAAGGCUCGGAUGUGUAGAGUGGCCCUUCGUGCCCAUCGGUGCGGCGGGUUGAAGAGCGGGUUAUCGUCUCGAUGGCCACGAACAACGAGGGGUGGAUGAAAGCUACAGCAAGGCCUGCGUUGUCUCGUGAUGGCCCGAGAGAAGAUCAUACCCUUAGUGUGAUCCCAUCCAUGCACCGACCCACAUGCGGCUGCU
Molecule: unclassified non-coding RNA, 635 nt
Filed under: Campylocentrum kuntzei
Lineage: Eukaryota; Viridiplantae; Streptophyta; Magnoliopsida; Asparagales; Orchidaceae
Description: sequence contains 18S rRNA gene, ITS1, 5.8S rRNA gene, ITS2 and 28S rRNA gene
Rfam family: 5.8S ribosomal RNA (bases 233-388)
Source: RNAcentral